CCUACGGGAGACAGCAGUGAGGAAUAUUGGGCAAUGGACGAGAGUCUGAACCAGCCAAGUAGCGUGAAGGAUGACUGCCCUCUGGGUUGUAAACUUCUUUUAUAAAGGAAUAAAACGAGGCACGUGUGCCUUUUUGCAUGUACUUUAUGAAUAAGGAUCGGCCAACUCCGUGCCAGCAGCCGCGGCAAGACGGAGGCUCCGAGCGUUAUCCGGAUUUAUUGGGUGUAAAGGGAGCGUAGAGGGGUUGUUAAGUCAGUUGUGAAAGUUUGCGGCUCAACCGUAAAAUUGCAAGUGAUACUGGCAGUCUUGAGUGCAGUUGAGGUAGGCGGAAUUCGUGGUGUAGCGGUGAAAUGCUUAGAUAUCUCGAAGAACCCCGAUUGCGAAGGCAGCUUACUAAACUGUGACUGACAUUGAUGCUCGAAAGUGUGGGUAUCAAACAGGAUUAGAUACCCGGGUAGUC
RNAcentral lists this ribosomal RNA (460 nucleotides) under uncultured bacterium. RNAcentral describes it as "partial 16S ribosomal RNA". It matches the Rfam family "Bacterial small subunit ribosomal RNA", at positions 338 to 795 of the family's 1533-position model. The record is from RNAcentral.